RNAcentral lists this long non-coding RNA (3289 nucleotides) under Nicotiana tabacum (common tobacco). RNAcentral describes it as "long non-coding RNA (NTAB_LNC005899)". The record is from RNAcentral. Lineage: Eukaryota; Viridiplantae; Streptophyta; Magnoliopsida; Solanales; Solanaceae.
GGACCAGCCGUUUUGAUCAUAGAGGACACCCAUCAGAUUUGGUCCUUCAUCUUCAAAAAAUGAAAAAACCCUAAGACCCUUUUUCAUCAUCUUCUUAACCAAAAACCAUAAUCUCCAUAACCACAUAAGCCGUUUACUGAUAAAACAGACGCUAGGAAUCAUCUUCUCCAACAAAAAAAAACAAACGCUAAUAACCCUAGAGACCAAGGAGCCAGCCUUGUUCAUGUUGAUCCAAAAACUUUCUUCUUCCUCUUCAACCUAAACAACAAAAGAACCUAGACACCCUAACAGAGAAUGCCAUAGACCUGAGGACAAGCAUCAGUCGUUCAACACUCACACAAAGAGCCUCACCACCACGCCCUUAACCAGCAACUACCUCGACGAUGCCCGACAAUCUCGCCGGAAAAUGAACCUACAGCCACACUCCAGCUGACCUAGCGGAAAAACGGAUAAGAAGAAGACAAAAAUAGGGAGACAACCUCACCCCUCCAAAUCCCUCUCGCUCUCUCGGCUUUUCUGUCUCACCUCUAUUGCCGACGAGCUUCACCGGAAAUUGGUUAGUUCAUCAUCUGUCAUUCUAGUCCGUCGAUUCCAACUGAGAUUCCACGCGUCGGUCUUUGUUCAUUUCCGUAUCUGUUCAUUUCCAACUGAGCCUGUGUUUUGUAAGUCAUUCGAAUAUAAACUAUUACACUACUUCUUUCACAAACAUGUUCAUAUUUGCUGUUGCGUUUUGGGAAUGUCCUAGUAAUAUUUGUUCACUCCAUUUUGUUUAGUUGAUUGUUAUUGGAAUGUUGGUUAGUUUAAUCUGUGAUUAGAGGGACUUAAUAGUUAAACUAAGUUUUUGUUUCUUUGUUGCAUUUCUUCAUCAAAGGAUAGGCUUCAGAAAUUAACACCUUGAUAAUGAAAGAAUUAAAUUAACAGAAUUAAGUAGAUUAGAUAAUUGUCUGGAUGCUUGAAAGUUCUUAGGCCAUGGGUUUGGACUAAAAGUUAAAAUGACGUAUAUUGAAUUGAGUUUGAAAAUGUUUUAUCAUUUCUUUUAUUCUAGAUUUUUUUAAUUAAAAUGCUAGGAGCAUGGUUUUAGGCCGACUACACAUGGGUAAGAAAACUUUUUGGUGUGUAAGUAAUCAUCACAGGUACGGGUAUCAUUUCUGUGACAUAGUUGUGAUAUAUAAUUUUCAAAUCUGGGAGCACAUUUUAUGUGACUCGGCCACAACUUCUAAUAAUAUUAAUAAAUUAAACGUGUUGUAGAUCAUGAGUACGGUUCCCGUGACAUGAUUCACAAUGUGUACAAAAAACAAAUGAGUGCGAGACAAUCGUGACUCGUUGAAAUAAUUUUCAUAUAUCCUAAAAGUGGUUAGAUGAAUAAUUAAAAACGGUCAAAGGUUAAAAAUUCACAAUAGGUAUAAAAAUAUGUAAUUAAUCAGAUAAAUAGGCCAAUAAUAAUAGUUGAGCAACCAUGCUAAACAACGAAAUCCGGGAAUGCCUAAAACCUUCUCCCGGAUUAACAGAAUUUCUUACCCGGAUUUCUGUGUUUGCAGGCCAUAAAUAAUAGUCAAACUUCCUCGAUUCAGGAUUUAAAACCAGUGACUUGGAACACCAUAAAUUAUCCCAAGUGGCGACUCUGCAUUUGAAUAAAUAAUUUCAUUUCGAUUAUUGUCACUUUAAUUGGAAAAACUCCCUUACACCCCUUUCUGGGUAGAAAAAUGAGGUGUGACAGCAGGCCUCUGAUCUCACAAUUGCGAGACCAAGCUUUGCAAUUGCGACCACUGUUGGGUUCGCAUUUGUGACCUACUCAUCGCAUUUGGGAAGAGUAGAUGUGGAGGCCAAUGAUCGUAAUUGCAAACAAUUACUCGCAAUUGCGAUGGGAACUAGGGAGGGGUGCUUUUCGCAUUUGCGAUCACAUGGUCGCAUUUGCGAUCUUGCCCAUAUUCGCAUUUGUGAACUAUACCUCACAUUUGCAAACAAUGUGUAAAUAAGAAGGGGUUCACAUUUGCGAAGCCCAGGUAGAAUUUGCGACAUUUGUAGUUGGGUAAAUGAGACUUAGACGGGAUUUUCUCACAUUUUUCAAAUUUUCAAAUCCUAGAACCCUAGAGUCGAUUCUUCCAAGACCAAUUCUUCCCCAAAACUUUGGUAAGUGAUCCUAACUCACUUUCUUUUAAUUUUCCGUCACAUUUCAUGAAUUUACAACCUAAAAUCUAGGAUUUCCAUGGUAGAAAUUGGGGGUUUGGGUAGAAAUAGAGAUUUUCGGAAAAUUGGGAUUUAGACCUCAAAUUGGGGUUGGAUUUCAAAACUAAUGACAUAAUCGGGAUCAGGGGUGAAUGGAUAAAUGAGUUUUGGUUCAAACCUUGAAUUUUGACCAAGCGGGCCCGGGGUCGAUUUUUGACUUUUUGGAGAAAAGUUUGGAAAAUCAAAAUUUGUGCAUUGUAAUUGAUUCCUUUAGCAAUAUUUGAUGUUAUUGAGUUAAUUGUGGCUAGAUAUGAGUGGUUUGGAGGUGGAUACUAGAGGAAAAGUGGUAAUUGAGCAUUAAGUGGCUUUUGGAGCGAGGUAAGUAUUCAGUCUAACCUUGACUCGAGGGAUUAGGAACUCUUGACUUAUUUGCUAUAUGAAAUUCAUGUGAGCGGCGUAUAUGUGAGGUGACGAGUACUUAUGUGCUGUCAAUUUAUCUAUUUUUGCCUGUUUCUUUCCGUUUUUCUCAUAUUGUCUCUUCCCAUGUCGUAACUAUUACAUGAUUUACUUGUAUUUCCAUGCUUAAUUGCUACUUGCUAAAUAUUUAUUCUCUUAGUUGAAGGUAUUAAUUAUUUCGUAGCUUCAUUGUCUCCUAUUAUUUGCUUAAGCUGGUUAUUGGUACUUUCAUGGUAUAUCCCGGAUUGGUCUCGCUGAGCAGUAUUACUUGUGUAAAAUUUCAUAGUGUACAAACUUCCUAAUUAUUUUGGUUUGAAGUUAAGCCUUUGGAAGGGUUAUGUGAUUUGAAUUGUGAAAUUUCUGUACGUACGGAACAACUAACAUUGAAUGUGAUUAUUUUGAUAUGGUGGGAUCGGGUUGCACGCUGCAAUACUUUUAUUUAUAUUCUGUUGUUUAUGUUAAUAAGAGGAAAUAAGAGAGGAAUUUGUUGUAGGAUUUAUCGACUAGGAGACCCAAGGUAGACCUGUCGGCGUCCGCAGACCCUAGCGUCCCCUUCUAUACCCCAUACUUUACUUCUUUCUUUAUUUCGCAAAUAGUUAUAUUUUCUUUCGAAUAAAUACUUGUAGUAAAAUCUUAGAAUGUUCGUGAAUUGUGACUCCGAUUUCUG